GACGAACCGAGCGAACGUUGUUCGGAAUAACUGGGCUUAAAGGGCGCGUAGGCGGGCCGCGUGGUCCGAGGUGAAAUCCUCCGGCUCAACCGGAGAACUGCCUCGGAUACCGGCGGCCUGGAGGGGGGUAGGGGCACGCGGAACUGUGGGUGGAGCGGUGAAAUGCGUAGAUAUCGUUUGGAACGCCAAUGGUGAAAACAGGUAACUGGGAGUGUGCCGACGCUGAGACACGAAAGCCAGGGGAGCGAACGGG
Molecule: ribosomal RNA, 253 nt
Filed under: uncultured bacterium
Lineage: Bacteria
Description: partial 16S ribosomal RNA
Rfam family: Bacterial small subunit ribosomal RNA
Source: RNAcentral